CCUACGGGAGGCAGCAGUGGGGAAUAUUGGACAAUGGGGGGAACCCUGAUCCAGCCAUGCCGCGUGUGUGAAGAAGGCCCUCGGGUUGUAAAGCACUUUCAGUGAGGAAGAACGCCUGGUGGUUAAUACCCAUCAGGAAAGACAUCACUCACAGAAGAAGCACCGGCUAACUCCGUGCCAGCAGCCGCGGUAAUACGGAGGAUGCGAGCGUUAAUCGGAAUUACUGGGCGUAAAGCGCGCGUAGGUGGCUUGAUAAGCCGGUUGUGAAAGCCCCGGGCUCAACCUGGGAACGGCAUCCGGAACUGUCAAGCUAGAGUGCAGGAGAGGAAGGUAGAAUUCCCGGUGUAGCGGUGAAAUGCGUAGAGAUCGGGAGGAAUACCAGUGGCGAAGGCGGCCUUCUGGACUGACACUGACACUGAGGUGCGAAAGCGUGGGUAGCAAACAGGAUUAGAUACCCCGGUAGUC
This 465-nucleotide ribosomal RNA is filed under the name Vreelandella stevensii. RNAcentral describes it as "partial 16S ribosomal RNA". It matches the Rfam family "Bacterial small subunit ribosomal RNA", at positions 338 to 795 of the family's 1533-position model. Lineage: Bacteria; Pseudomonadati; Pseudomonadota; Gammaproteobacteria; Oceanospirillales; Halomonadaceae. The record is from RNAcentral.